Alexandromys fortis (reed vole) is the source of this 699-nucleotide non-coding RNA. Lineage: Eukaryota; Metazoa; Chordata; Mammalia; Rodentia; Cricetidae. The record is from the annotation of a RefSeq genome assembly.
AUGGAUGGAGGAGAACGUAAGGCUAAUAGGCGCUCCCUAAAGAACAAGGAAGAGGUGACCAGACAUGAGAAAUCCACGAGAGAAGAAAUCGGUGGAUGCAGCGCAGAAAGGCAGUCUUACAAAGAGAGCCUGUGUCCUACCCCCUGCCGUGCAGCGCAGUUCAAGAGAAAGUCAGAUCUGUGCUGGAGUCAGUCUCAGACUAGUCACAGCACAGACGUGAAGGUCCCAACUAAGCUUCUUGUGCUGCAGCUGCUCUGGCUUAUAGGUGCCAGAUGUGACAUACAGAUGACCCAGUCUCCAGCCUCAUUGUCUGCAUCUCUAGGAGAAAGUGUCACCAUCACAUGCCAGCCAAGUAAAAGCGUUGACUGGAAUUUAGCAUGGUAUCAGCAGAAACAAGGGAAUCCUCCUAAACUCCUGAUCAAAGCUGGAGAUGAACUGGCAGAUGGGGUCCCUUCCAGGUUCAGUGGCAGUAGAUCUGACCCACAGUAUUCUCUCAAGAUCAGUAGCCUGCAGCCUGAAGAUGUGGCAACUUAUUACUGUCUACAGCAUAGUGAGCUUCCACCCACAGUGAUACAAGUCAUAACACAAACCCACAAGGAAGCAGAAGCAUGUGGCAUGGCUGUACCAGCUGUUCCUCCAGGUGGGCCACCCAUUGAAACUGUUUCUCAGAUGUUACAGUAUAUUGAGCAUAACUCAUGA